GGACACCUUAUCUAUACCUGUGUCAUGACACUAACUGCAUUCAGCCUUUUGUUGCAAGCAUUUACAUUCCUAUCUCCUCUUCCUCUGGAACUAAGUGCAGGGCCAGAGACUUAGUAUUCUUGUGUCCUUCUAGGGCAGCUACGACAGUGCCUGGUGCUUGGGGAGUGCUUGACAGAUUCAGGUUGAAGAAACAAAGGCAGGAUGUCUGAGAUGCCCAGCGUGGGUGAGUGCACCCUCCCUCCCUGGCUCUGCUCCUCCCCCUCCCCGGAACCACCACCCCCUCAGCCCUGAGCUGCCGAUGCCCUCGGGGUUCUGUUUUCAUUCCAGGCUGUGGAUCCGGUCGUGGGAAGCAGUAAAGAUGGGAUCUUGUUCUGUUGCCCAGGCUGGUCUCCAACUUCUGGCUGCAAGUGAUCCUCCCUCCUUGGCCUGGCAAAGUGCUGGGAUUACAGGGCCGCACACAUACAGAGCUGAACUUGUAUCGCCGUGUAGAUGAAGACAAACACCUUUAGGAGAUGGCAGAGAAACAAAAUGGGAAACCCUCAGGUCUCCAAAUGACUACACCAAGCAGAAUUGCCCCACCAGCCUGCACCAUUCAUUUCUAGACUAUGAGCAAGAAGUACACUUCCAUCUUAUUUAAACAACCAUAUUUGGGGUUUUUGUUGUUGUUAUUGUUGUUGUUAUAGGAGCUUAGCUUUUACUCUAAGAAAUACAGCUACUCAACUCACUUCAUUAGGAUCUUAACUAUAAUAUCAAAACCUCCUAAGCACAGAAUAAAAAAUACAGUAGAGCAAUAUCAUUUAUGAUCAUAGAUGCAGAGCUUCCAAAUGAAAUACUAGCAUAUUCAAGGAAAGAUAUAUAUACCAUGACCUAGUUGUGUUUAAUUUCUGGAAUUCAAAAAUGGAAUGUUUGACAUAAGAAAAUCUAUUAGGCCGGGCGCGGUGGCUCACGCCUGUAAUCCCAGCACUUUGGGAGGCCGAGGCAGGCAGAUCACGAGGUCAGGAGAUCGAGAUCAUCCUGGCUAAUACGGUGAAACCCCGUUUCUACUAAAAAAUACAAAAAAAAAAUAUUAGCUGGGAGUGGUGGCGGGCGCCUGUAGUCCCAGCUACUUGGGAGGCUGAGGCAGGAGAAUGGCGUGAACCCGGGAGGCAGAGCUUACAGUGAGCUGAGAUCGUGCCACUGCACUCCAGCCUGGGUGACAGAGCGAGACUCUGUCUCAAAAAAAAAAAAAAAAAGAAAAAAGAAAACAGUUUGGCAGUUCCUCAAAAAGUUAAACAUAGGAUGUUUGAAAAUUUAAACGUAAUAUGACCUAGCAAUUCAACCCCAGGUAUACAACCAAGAGAAUUGAAAACAGGUGUUCAAACAAAAACUUGUACAGGAUUGCUCAUAGCAGCAUUAUUUAUAAUAGCCAAAAGGAAGAAACUACUCAAAUGUCCAUCAGCUGAUGAAUGGAUAAACAAAAUAUGGUGUAUUUCUACAAUGGACUAUUAUUCAAUCAUAAAAAAUGAAAUGCUGAUAAAUGCCAAAAUUGACGAACUUUUAAAACAUGCUAAGUGGCUGGGUGGGGUGGCUCUAGUCCGUAAUCCCGGCAUGUUAAGAGGCCGAGGUGGGCGGGUCACUUGAGCCUGGGAGGUCGAGGCUGCAGAGAGCUGAGAUCGCGCUACUGCACUCUAGCCUGGGUGACAGAGCAGACCCUGUCUCAGAAAGAAAAGAAAAAACAGAAAAGAGAAAGAAGACAGGAGAGGAGAGAAGGGGAGGGGAGGGGAGGGGAAUGGAGAGGGGGAGGGGAGGGGAGGGGAAGGGGGAGGGAAGGGGAGGGGAGGGGAACAUCCUGGCCGGGUGCAGUGGCUCACGCCUGUAAUCCUAGCACUUUGGGAGGCCAAGGUGGGCGGAUUGCCUGAGCUCAGGAGUUCGAGACCAGCCUGGGCAACACGGUGAAACCCCGUCUCUACUAAAAUACAAAAAAAUUAGUUGGGCGUGGCGAUGUAUACCUGUAGUCCCAGCUACUCAGGAUGCUGAGGCAGAAGAAUUGCUUGAACCCAGGAGGUUGAGGUUGCAGUGACGCGAGAUUGCACCACUGCACUCCAGCCUGGGUGACAGAGUGAGACUCUCUCCCAAAAAAAAAAAAAGAAAAGAAAAGAAAAGAACAUGCUAAGUGAAAGAAGCCAGAGAAAAAAAGGCAACACAUUGUAUUAUUCCAUUUAAUGAAAUAUCCAGGAUAAACAAAUCCAUAGAAAUGAAGAGCAGCUGAGGGGUUGCUGGGGCUAGGGACGGGGGGGAUAUCAGGAAUGACUGCUUCAUGGGUACAGAGUUUUCAGGUGAUGAAAUCUUCUAGAAUUAGAUAAUAGUGAUGGUUGCACAACAUUAUGAAAAUACCAAAAACCACUGAACUGUACACUUUAAAAUUGUUAAAAUGGUGAAUUUUAUAUUAUGUGACAAUUUUGUAAAAGAAUUCUAUAUCCAAUGAAAAUAUUCUUCAAGAAUGAGAGGGAAAUAAAGGCGUUCUCAAGUGAAAAAUCAAGAGAAUUUGUCAUUAGUAGACUUGUUGUAAAAUAAAUACUAAAGAAAGUUCUUCAAACGGAAGAAAGAGGAUACCUGAAAGAAAUUUAGAACAUCAAGAAUGAAGACAGAGAAACAAAAAUGGUAAAAAUCUGGUUAAAUAUAAUAGACUAUUUUUAUCUUAAAUUCUUUAUAAUAUGUAUAUGUUGGGGCUCAGAAAACAACACCUCAAAAGUAUGGCGCUUUGGUAUGCUGAACACUUUGAACUAAAAUAGAAAGGACUUAGAAGCUACCUCAGAAUAAGGCCUUUCUGGCCUCAUCUGUUUCUAUCGCCUAGAGACUUCUAGAGACUUCUGGAGUCUCUAUCCCCCUAGAGACUUCCCCUAGAAUUUCCUUAUCUGACUAAGGAAACUUCUUUCCAAAAGAAAUGCAAUUGUCUUAAGAUCCCCUUCCUAGGAAUCUCAUCAAAUAAUCAGAAAAGAUUAACCACCAGAGAAGAAUGGAGACUAAAGUCAGAUGACUCUUCAUCUAGUCCUCUGAGGCAGUGCCAAGAGAUAACCUGGGAGGCUUUAUCUACCAGGUUAAGUUUCACCCCUCACCUUCCGGUAACUUGCUGGCGUCGUUUAGUUUCCUAGGAGAAUCAUUUACAAGAUAAUGUCUGAGCCUCCUGGGCCCAUUCAUUUCCCCUAAAAAUCAUUAACAACCCCUGCAUUUUCCCCAUCUCCCUCUUCCCUAUGAAGCAGAUAUAUAAGCCUCAAUCAUCUGGCCCUUUGGGUCUCAUAUUUAAUAUUGUACCCAUGUUUUUGUAUGUUAAUAAAUUUAUAUGCCUUUUUCUCCUAUUAAUCUGUGUAUUGUCAGUCAUUUUAGCA
RNAcentral lists this long non-coding RNA (3365 nucleotides) under Homo sapiens (human). RNAcentral's name for it is "HSALNT0135660". The record is from RNAcentral. Lineage: Eukaryota; Metazoa; Chordata; Mammalia; Primates; Hominidae.